RNAcentral lists this long non-coding RNA (301 nucleotides) under Gossypium raimondii (Peruvian cotton). Its description in RNAcentral is "long non-coding RNA (GRAI_LNC007419)". The record is from RNAcentral. Lineage: Eukaryota; Viridiplantae; Streptophyta; Magnoliopsida; Malvales; Malvaceae.
UAAGCUCAAAAUUGUUUGGUUUCUACAUACGCAAUUUGAAACACAAAAACAAAACAAAUAAAAACCUAUUGUUAAUUCUACUCCUAAAAUGAAAAAAAUAAAAAUAAUCCCAAAAUUAAUACAAUCCUCAAAAGAUAAAAAUUAAGAGUUCAAUCAUCGUUGUUUUCCUCAAAAUCCAUCUCCUAUCCUUCCUCUUCUCCUUUCUCAUCCUCGCUUACUUCCUGUUCAUCACUCUUCUGCUCAUUUUCUUCCUUCUUGGAAUGUGUUGGGCCAAACAUAUCCGGUGGAUAGUUUGGUACUA